UACGGGGGGAGCAAGCGUUGUUCGGAUUUACUGGGCGUAAAGGGCGCGUAGGCGGCGUAACAAGUCACUUGUGAAAUCUCCGGGCUUAACUCGGAGCGGCCAAGUGAUACUGUUGUGCUAGAGUGCGGAAGGGGCUACUGGAAUUCUCGGUGUAGCGGUGAAAUGCGUAGAUAUCGAGAGGAACACCUGCGGCGAAGGCGGGUAGCUGGGCCGACGCUGACGCUGAGGCGCGAAAGCCAGGGGAGCGAACGGG
RNAcentral lists this ribosomal RNA (253 nucleotides) under uncultured bacterium. RNAcentral's name for it is "partial 16S ribosomal RNA". It matches the Rfam family "Bacterial small subunit ribosomal RNA", at positions 524 to 776 of the family's 1533-position model. The record is from RNAcentral.